AGCGGCGGACGGGUUAGUAACGCGUGGGAAGGACCCCUUCUCUAUGGAAUAGCCUCGGGAAACUGAGAGUAAUACAUAAUACGCCCUUCGGGGGAAAGAUUUAUCGGAGGAGGAUCAGCCCGCGUAAGAUUAGAUAGUUGGUGGGGUAAUGGCCUACCAAGUCUACGAUCUUUAGCUGGUUUUAGAGGAUGAUCAGCAACACUGGGACUGAGACACGGCCCAGACUCCUACGGGAGGCAGCAGUGGGGAAUCUUAGACAAUGGGCGCAAGCCUGAUCUAGCCAUGCCGCGUGUGUGAUGAAGGCCUUAGGGUCGUAAAGCACUUUCGCCAGGGAUGAUAAUGACAGUACCUGGUAAAGAAACCCCGGCUAACUCCGUGCCAGCAGCCGCGGUAAUACGGAGGGGGUUAGCGUUGUUCGGAAUUACUGGGCGUAAAGCGCACGUAGGCGGAUCAGAAAGUUGGGGGUGAAAUCCCAGGGCUCAACCCUGGAACUGCCUCCAAAACUCCUGGUCUUGAGUUCGAGAGAGGUGAGUGGAAUUCCGAGUGUAGAGGUGAAAUUCGUAGAUAUUCGGAGGAACACCAGUGGCGAAGGCGGCUCACUGGCUCGAUACUGACGCUGAGGUGCGAAAGUGUGGGGAGCAAACAGGAUUAGAUACCCUGGUAGUCCACCCCGA
RNAcentral lists this ribosomal RNA (674 nucleotides) under uncultured bacterium. RNAcentral describes it as "bacterial SSU rRNA". It matches the Rfam family "Bacterial small subunit ribosomal RNA", at positions 94 to 803 of the family's 1533-position model. The record is from RNAcentral.